UGGUCCCUUCCCUUUUCCCUUUUAGUCUUUAGUCCCUUUUCAAGUUGAAAUCUGCUACUCGUCGUACUCGUUCGUCUCAUCGUCUGACUCAUCGUGUUUGUGUUUGUGUUUGAUGUAAGUUGUUCGAUUUCAUUUUCGUGUUCGUGUUAGAUCGUGAGUUCUUGCAUUUUCUUCAAUUCGACUUAAUACCAGAGAAGAUUCAAGAUGCUGCUACUUUUAUACUGCGUUUUAACCUAAGGUAAGUGGAACAUAGGAACAUUCCUAGAGGUGGUGGAUGACCUACCGAAAGUGGUAAAGCACCAAGUUUGGGAUUUUCGCCGCAGUUCACCAACGCUUGUCUCAAGAACGAGAACAUCGAACGAACGAUAUCGUAUCGGAUGAAAUUACCAAUAUAUUGAUCUGUAGAUGAAAUUAGCGAUUAAUUCGUUGAAAGGUGAAGAAAAAUAUGCAUAUUUAAGCCGGCAACCUACUCGAUAAAUCAACCCACGUGUUCAUUAAACUGCUGGUAACAUCUUCCGGCGAUACUCUCGUACCUUCGGUGACUCUGUUAGCUAAAGAUUUGGUGUAAUUGUUUUGAAAAUGCAACAAUCCCCAAACUUUAUUCUUUCUAACAUCGUUCAAAGCGAUAUCAUCGUCAUCGUAUUGCA
Molecule: long non-coding RNA, 647 nt
Organism: Planococcus citri (citrus mealybug)
Lineage: Eukaryota; Metazoa; Arthropoda; Insecta; Hemiptera; Pseudococcidae
Exons: 2
Source: RefSeq, a predicted model, not a curated record